AUCGUCGUAUCGUAUCGUGUCGAUGUGUUCGGGUUGAAAAUACGACCUAAAGCUAACGUCAUUCGUUUCGUUUCGUAAAAUAUGGUGCCGAAACUACCCGGGAUCGGUUGGAAUCGCUCGUGAAAUGGCCGAUCUUGAGAAACUGAAGCGGCGCAAGAUAAGCGCUCAAGGGUGGCUCACUCGAACAGUUGUGAAACUCGAGCAAAGCCUGUCUUUGAAGGAGGUUAAAGUGAUUGACCUCGAAAGUUUGCUCUGUGACUUUGAUAAGCGGCUGAGUGAUUUUGAUGUUGCUGAGGAGCUACUCGAGCAAGAGCUUCCAGAAGAUGGCAUCAUGGAAGCCAUCGAAGCCGCUGGUGAGAUCAGAGACCGUGCUGUGGAUGUGCGAAACAAAGCCCAGCAAACUCUUGGUGUUCUUAAGGUGAAGGAUGGGGCUGAUGACUCGGCUUCUUGUGCCAGUGCGUCUCAGCUUGGAUCAGCUGAUCCUUCCGUCAAGCUCCCAAAGCUUCAGUUGCCCAAGUUUUCUGGCAACGUGCUUGAGUGGCCUCAGUUUUGGGAUGCUUUUUCUGUGACUGUGGAUGCCAGUGACUUACCCGAGGUGACCAAGCUGACAUAUCUCAGAUCCUUGCUGACUGGAGAAGCAGCAAAGAGUGUCGAGGGUCUUGCGUUGUCAAAAGUGAACUACAAGACAACCUGUGAGAUUCUCAAGGACAGGUUUGGCAGAAAGGAGCAGAUUAUAUACAACCAUAUUCAGGCACUCCUGCAGUCGAGUUGUGAUAAGAAGUCUGAAGGCCUUAAGUCUUUCCAGGAUGAACUCUUAGUUCAUGUCAGGAGUCUGGAGAACUUGGACAUUACUGGUGAGAGGUAUGGCGUCGUGCUGACACCUAUCAUUGUGUCACGCCUGCCUGAAGUGAUUCGGAUGGAAUGGGCCAGGAAGAGUGCUGGUAAGGAAGCUGACUUGGAGUUUCUGUUAGAGUUCUUGAAGGAGGAGAUUCAGUGCCGUGAACGCUCACAGACAUUCAAGUGUGGUGCAAUGGCCAGUGAUUCUGGAAGAGAGACGGAGAAGAAGAGAGAUCAUCAAGCAGGCCGAUUUGCUGGUCAGAGACAGAGAGUGGCUGCAGCGUCAGUGCUUCACACUGCUGCUGCCAGGUCUAACUGUGGGAUUUGCCAUGACUCCCACCCGCCGGCCAAGUGUCCGGAAUUGCUGAAGCUGGCUGUAAGGGACAGGCCAGGGAAGAUAAGAGACUCAGGUUUGUGUUUUCGAUGCCUCAAGGAGGGCCACAGAGGUAACUCGUGCGGUGCGAGGUGUGAUAACUGUCGAGCACGAGCUGCUCAAACACUGCGGUGUUGACACCCUCCUGACGACCCUGAGGAAUGAGUACUGGAUCGUUGGAGGGAGGAGAGCGGCCAAAAGGGUGAAGCGGGCCUGCACAGCGUGUCAGAGGCAAGAUGCUGCUGCCCUCAACGCGCCAGUGGCGCCUCUACCGGCUCAGCGGGCUAGUAAGGCUCCGCCUUUCUCAGUGACGGGCGUUGAUUUUUGUGGCCCGCUCUUCUGCUUGCCCAAGCAGAAGGUGUAUGUCUGUCUAUUCACAUGCGCUGUAACCAGAGCUAUUCACCUUGAGUUGACGGAUUCCAUGUCCCAGUCAGAUUUUUUGCUGGCGUUCAGAAGGUUCUGUGCCAGACGUGGUACCCCUACGAUGAUGUAUUCGGACAACGCCAAGACGUUUAGAGCCGCGGCUACCAGCCUGUUAGCUGAGCUGGGUCCGGCGGGCCCUGAGUGGAAGUUUAUUGCCCCCCGCGCGGCAUGGUGGGGCGGUCACUGGGAGCGGUUAGUUCGUACUGUUAAGAGCUCCCUGAGAAAGACUCUCGGCAGGAGCGUCCUCUCCAAGGUGGAGCUGGAAACGCUGCUUUUGGAGGUGGAGGCCUGUGUAAAUUCUCGUCCACUAACCUUUGUCAGUGAUGAUGUGGACGGAGCUCGGCCUCUAACCCCGAGUCACUUUCUGUCCGGCAGAGUAGCCGGUGUUCGUGCGUUUGUGGUUGAUGAUUCGGACCAGGUUUCAGCGUCGUCCCUGACGGAGAGGGACGUUGAGCACCAGAACAUGUUGGCGAAGUUCUGGAGAGUGUGGCAGACUGACUACCUCCGCAGCCUGCCGCAUUCGGUUAGGAAGUUUAAGUCUCGUGGGAAGCUCCAGAUAGGUUCCGUUGUUCUCAUUCGGGAGGACAAUGUCCCGAGGCUGCACUGGUUGAUGGGAGUAGUAGAACACCUUCAUCCGGGCAGUGAUGGUGUCGUGAGAGCCGCCGACGUCAGGACGGCUCAGGGCGUUCGUACGCGGCCAGUACAGCGUCUGCAUGACUUGGAAGUCUUGGAUUAGGAGUAGCUCAAGUUCCGAUGUACCGUGCCUUUGAUGAAGCGUUGCGCGCAUUGUCAUCGUUGCGAGUGUUAUUUUAUCGUGUAUAUCGUCGUGUGUUAGUAUUAAGUGAAGUGUCGUAUCUCGUUUGCUGUUAGACCGUUAAUGUAUGUUACCGUUCUAACAGGCGGGGAGUGUUACCGAACGUGAAACCGCCGCCGAUUUGGCGGUCGUGGGCGGCUGUUGUGUCCCCCUGGCGGCGCGCCUGGAAAGCUGUAGUUGGAUCGCGAGAGUCGGUCGGUGGCGCCGAGUGGUCGGCCAUGGCCAUUGUCGUUGAUAAGCGUGUGGGAUAUGCCACGUGUCGCUCUCGUAUCGCAAUCGUCGUAUCGUAUCGUGUCGAUGUGUUCGGGUUGAAAAUACGACCUAAAGCUAACGUCA
Molecule: unclassified non-coding RNA, 2783 nt
Filed under: Amphibalanus amphitrite
Lineage: Eukaryota; Metazoa; Arthropoda; Thecostraca; Balanomorpha; Balanidae
Description: uncharacterized LOC122363887, transcript variant X6
Source: RNAcentral